Molecule: ribosomal RNA, 253 nt
Filed under: uncultured bacterium
Lineage: Bacteria
Description: partial 16S ribosomal RNA
Rfam family: Bacterial small subunit ribosomal RNA
Source: RNAcentral
UACAGAGGUGGCAAGCGUUGUCCGGAUUUAUUGGGCGUAAAGAGCGUGUAGGCGGCCAGAUAAGUCCGCUGUGAAAUCUCGAGGCUCAACUUCGAGCUGUCGGUGGAAACUGUCUGGCUAGAGUCCGGAAGAGGAGAAUGGAAUUCCUGGUGUAGCGGUGAAAUGCGCAGAUAUCAGGAAGAACACCCGUGGCGAAGGCGGUUCUCUGGGACGGUACUGACGCUGAGACGCGAAAGCGUGGGGAGCGAACAGG